RNAcentral lists this microRNA (22 nucleotides) under Heligmosomoides polygyrus. RNAcentral's name for it is "hpo-miR-10021-3p". Lineage: Eukaryota; Metazoa; Nematoda; Chromadorea; Rhabditida; Heligmosomidae. The record is from miRBase by way of RNAcentral.
CGCUUAUUUUGGUUAUCUCGAC